Long non-coding RNA from Nematostella vectensis (starlet sea anemone), 1365 nucleotides. RefSeq lists it as uncharacterized. The transcript is spliced from 4 exons. The record is from RefSeq and is a predicted model, not a curated record. Lineage: Eukaryota; Metazoa; Cnidaria; Anthozoa; Actiniaria; Edwardsiidae.
UCUUUGAUUCGGCGUUAGUUUGAGUUAUCAAAGAUUUGAAUUACUUAGGGUCGGAAUACAAUAAAAAACAAAUAUUUUCGAACUGAUCAAUUUCUCUCGUAGGUUCGAGUUAUUAUCCAGUUAAAUUCACAAAUGGCUGCAUCGAUGUCAAUGCUGUCAAUCAUUCUGCUGCUAGUGCGAUACGUCGAUGCAAAUUACUGCGAUGGCUUUUUCAAGAUGCCGAAUUCCAUGUUACAAAUGUUUAAGACAAUAACUACAACCGAGAAAGACUGUGUCGAGUGAUAUGCAGACGAAACAGCGCUUGUUAAUCGAUCAACUACAUCCGUGAAAAGUCGCAAUGUGAGUUGAAUAGCGAUACCCGUUUUGCGUUCCCUGGACACUCUUUUCCUGGCGCAGCGGCUGGCGCGUACUACGCUAUAGUGAAACCAGUGACCAAGUACAGUAACAUGCACUGUAGCAGUGGUAUGACGUGCAAGAUGCGAGAAGGCGGAAAGACAUACAAGUGUGAAGUAAUCCUUGUUUAAGCGGAGGGGCUUGUACUGAUGGAAACAAUGGCUUCACGUGCACUUGUCCCGCUGGUUACAUGGGAAGCAAAUGCGAAACUGGGACGUCCAUCACAUGUUCCGGUGGAACGGCGGGACUGUCCUGUCCACAAAACACUGUCUUGGACAUCCAGUGGGCCUUGUACGCCAGGCCCGCCCGAGAGCCGUGUCCCCAUUCGGCCAACUACAUCUGCAACGUACAAUAUCCCCAGACCCUCGCCAAGGUGCGAGAGUACUGCCAAGGGAAGCGGUCGUGUAGUUUUUAUGUUAGUAAUGACGCAUUGGUAGGAUUCGAUCCUUGUCCUAAUAAGUAUAAUUAUCUCGAGGUUCGCUAUGCUUGCAUAUCUUAAAAACACCAUGUGCCAAACGUUUUAUCGUUAACCUGUAUUGCACGUUUUUCAUCAUCGCACGAAAUAUCCUUAGCGUCGCUCGAUUGCCUUUUCAUACCACAUGUUCAUCAAGGUGAAAUUCAUCAUUGUUGUUUGACAACCAUCACAAUUAUUAAAUAAUUGUUAUUGACAGGCGAGUCACGCUAAAUUAUGUUAACGUGCAAUACUCGUUAACGAUGUAACUUUUGGCAUAAAUGAAUGUCCUUUUACCAUUAAUGAUACGCAAGGUGUUGUAAUUGGUGAAGUCAAACCAUAUCAUAAAUGUGUGUGCAAACAUCUUAAUCAUGCACAUGACAGCUGGCUUCUUGUAAAGUUGUUAAACAACCGACAAUGGGGCUUGAUAUAAAAACACAUCGUUGAUUACUCAUUUUUUAUGUCAAUUUUUAAUGUAUGUAUCACUUUGCAUGAUGAAUAAUAAAGUACUUGAAUCUUCA